AUAUAUAUAGACUAAUUAAAUUUUUUCACAUCAUCAGCCGUCCCCGGUACAAGUAUUAAAGCGGUCGAUAAUUGGUAACCAAAAUUUUAAAUUUAAAGUCUAAUAGCUUUAGCUUUUCAACUAAAUAAAUUUCUUUUUAAAAAAAUUAAAUAUAUCUUUCUCUCUCGACAAAAUUAAAAAGGGCACCAUAUUAUCCCAUUGUAUUAAUGUUCUAUAUAAGUAGUAUCAUAGGAGUAGGCAGCACUACUCUUUUAUCCGGUUCACCAAAUUUUUGAAUACCAAUUAUCAAAUUCUUAACCAUGUAUGCACAUGAUAGAUGGCAAGAGACUUGUAUAUAGAAAAUAGAGAGAAUACAUAAUAGAGAAUAGGCCAGGCACAUGCAUAAUAUAUGAGUAAAAUAAUCGAAUUGCAUUUCCGCGUAAGUUGGUUCACGUAAGAUCAGCAUAUUAUUAUAGAUGGGGAAAACAAAGACGAAAAAGACUUCUACCCCAGCUUCCACACCUAUAUAUAGUUAGCCUUCUUAAUUAUCAAGGAGAGACCAAAGACGAAGCAUUUCGUAAUAACUUGGACUUGAUACAUUAGUAUCUAUAUAUCACUUGUUGCAUAUGGAACAUAACCCAAGCAACGCUCAGAAAUCUUCCGGGAUUGCGGCUAUAACUCCUAACAUAACGGAUCCCAACAUGGACGCGCAUGCUCUGCUAGCCCGCUUGCAAGUAUUGGCCGGCACCGGUGGUGGUGCCGGGCAGGUGGACGUGAACAGCUUGCUGAGCAAUCUAAUGCAGCAGCUGGCCGUGCCCGCUCAUGCACAGGAGCAGCAGCAGGAGCAAGAGCAGGAGCCGAUGUGCGUGGCGGGGCCCAUACAGAUGAUCUGCGGGGCCAGCACCUUCUUCGAGCACAACGUCCAUGACUUCAUGCUCUCUGCUAAGGAGAUCGCCCCCGCCAGCACCGACUACGCCGUCGUAUCCAUCAUCGGCGCCCACAGCAGUGGUACAUAAUUAUCUCUUCUCUGCUCUUCUCUUCUCUUCUCUUUGCUCCUCUCUCUCUCUCUCUCUCUCUCUCUCUCUCUCUCUCUCUCUCUCUCUCUCUCUCUGGCGCUUUUUUUUAAAAAAAAGAAAAGAGAAGAAAAGAAAAGGAGAGAGUAGUAUUAAUUUGUCCGUGUGUAUAUCUUUAAUUUUAUUUUUAUAUUUUUUUAAAAGAUAGGUAGCACACUAUUCGCUUCGUUUAUUUUAUUUAAAAAUAAAUUUAGCUCGAAAUGUGAAUCAACUAGGUUGUUCUAUAGACGGUCGGUAUAUCUUUAAUAAAUCGCGCGUAUGUACGUACGUACGUACCCUCCAGAGUCCGGAGUAUAAAACUUUGUCUAUUUUUUUAAUUUACUUCUUUGCCCUUGAAGAAGGGCCGUAUUUACAUGCAUAAACCUCAUGCCGCUCUCCGUUCGCGUCGCCCUGUACACAAAUAGUGUCCCCGCCGCGAGUCGCCGGCCCUAGAGCCCGACCCGGCCCGGUCGCGGUGGCGGGUCAUGGAUCACGUGACCGUUAACCCGCCACGCUUCCUCCUCGUCGCACCGUUUCAUUCCACAUGCGCGGCGACUUGUUCGUUAUCGACGGAAGAUGAAAUUAGAGGGGCUACUUCAAUUCUUCUUCUUCUUCUUCUUCUUCUUAAUUUUAAGUUAUUCUCUUCCUUGAUUAUGUAGUGUAGCGUGUGAUGAUCUUUCAUUUGUUUACUAGUAGUACACUACUUUCUUAUAUCUUCUCGACUGAUGAAUCCCAUGGAAUUACAUUCGGAUUUGAUUCCAAAGGGAGCGUAAGUUUCUUCUUUUGGUAUGUUCAUUACACACAGUAUUAAUUAUUGUUUGCCCGUAUUGAUAUUGUUCAUAAUCUGGAAAGGAAAGUGGAUUCAUGCUUUUAUUGUUGUGUGCUGAGUCCCUGCCUAAGGAACUAAUCUAUCGUAGCUCAAAAUUUCCCCUUUGCCCCCGCCCUUUUCGUGUCCUGGGGAAUCCUUUUACAAGGCCUGUUUGUCUGUGGAGCCUGAAAUGUGGAUAUAUUAAGCAAAAUGUUUCAAUUUUAGCAUCGCAAUCUGAUUACUGGCAAGCGCAUUUUUGUCUAUUUUGAUUUCUGAAAUCUAUUUUACCUGAGCUAGGCUUACUAUUCGUUUUCUUCUUACCCCUUCUCAUUCAACCAUGACCCUAGCUAAUACAACCAUAAAUUGUGUGUGUGUGUGUGCGCGCGCGUGUUUUGAUGGUGUUUGAUCCUUGCUUCUCUGUUUCUUUCUGCAGGGAAAAGCUAUUUGCUGAACCGCCUUUUCGGGACCAACUUUCAGGUGAUGGAUGCCGCUAAAAGGAGGUAAUGCGCUUAUCAGCUGUUACUUAAAUCGAGUCAAACUUUCAAAUUUCAGUUUGCAUCAUCGUAUGCAUUGUUUUGGCACUAGACCUUUAUUGGGACUUUACUGUUGUUAGCCGGGCCACAAAAAGUGUCCGUAAUGGACUUAACACUCAGAAAGUUAUAAAAGAUUAUUAGCCAUCUCAUGUUAACCUUGCUUUGAAUUAUUACUUGAAUCCCACUUCAAGAAGCAUAAAGGAUGUUUUUUUUUUUUUCCCAGGGGACAAACCACCAAAGGAGUGUGGCUCUCAAGGUGCACAAAACCAUCCAUGUUGGUUAUGGAUGUCGAGGGGUUUGAUGGAAGAGAAAGAGGGGAGGUAUUUCUUCCUUUGCAAGCCCUUUGUGAAUCUCUUCCGUGGUUGGUGUAAAAUAAGCUGCUUUUUUGUUUCCCUUCGGCAGCAUUUCUUUCCAUGAUCUUUCUUCUUUUUUUUUUUUUUGUUCCAGCAUGCAGUGAACUGCCAUGAAUAGAAGAAAAGUAACUUAACUACUAGCUUAUAAUUUGAUAGAAAGCAUUUAUGAAACUCUUAAACUGGUCUAGAUGCAUGCUCAUGGUUCUUGCAUAAAUGCCUUAUUUGGUAAUGAACAAGCUUCAAAAAUUAAUCAAAAAAAUACUGGUUGUUUUGGUUCUCAUGCAGUGCAUUUUCCUUUUUUCUUGCAUUUCCCAUUAGACUACCUACAUACCAGGUAAUAAAUUCCAUUUGUUACAAGCACAUAUAGAUAUGAAGUCAAAAUUCUUAUUCUCAUCCUUCUAUCCUACCCUAUGUUUUGUGGGAUGACUUCAUCGGCCUGAGAAUUAAUGUGAUUCGUGGUUCCUAUGUAGUGGGCAUGUUUAUUCUACUUAUUUUAAUCCAACCCAACAUGUUUAGUGUGGUACCAUGGUUGGCCGUGUCAUAUAGUAACUAAACUCUCAUAUGAUGUGAUUCUAUAUAUAUUUAUCUUUCAAAUAUUGUUUUCUAGGCUUAGGCCUUGUUAAUGUUUGCGGUGUCUGUAAGCACCCUCUUUCAUACAUUUGAAGACCAAAAUAUUGCCAAUGGAGAAACAAGUAGCUGCUUGUUUUUCUGGUGGCAGUUCCCUCCACUAUUUUAUAGAAUCAAAGUAGGGAGGAUUGAAAGUGCCUUCAGACUUUCUAGGCCUUCCAAAGCAUAAAAGUGGGUGCUUUUAGACACCUUAAUCCCAAACUAAGCCUUAUUUCAACUGAUGACUAAUCUUUUCUCUCUGUAAUAGGAUGACACAUUAUAUGAAAAGCGAGCUGCUCUCUUUUCGUUAACUAUCUCGGAUCUUAUGAUGGUGAACAUGUUAGUCCGUGUUCUUGUUCUGAUAUGUAAAGAAUCUUCUUUUAAUAAGAUGCACAUAAUUUUGAAAUCUAUUCUAUUACUUUAGGUGGCUACGAGAUAUCGGCCGACAACAUGGUGGUUGCAUUCCACUUUUCAAGACAAUAUUUCGGGUAUGUCUUACUUGCAAUUUCAAAUAUUCUAGCACUUAAGUUUUCAAUAUAGAAAGCCUUUCAAUACUGUAGAGUAUUCCUAACAGUAUUAUUGUCAAUCCCAAUGCCUUGUUUGAUGUGGAAGCACCCAGGACACUGUGCUUCUAAAGCACCACAAACACUCUCUCUCUUUCUCUCUCUCUCUCUCUCUCUCUCUCUCUCUCUCUCUGAAUGUAUGUGUAUAUAUUACACCCAAAUGAAAAAGAAGCUCUUUUCUUAUUUUGAAAUUUCUUAAAUUCACCUUUAUGGCAGGAAAGAGCAAAGCUGGAGCCCAGUAAAACUAGAGUAUUAGUCAUUGUACGCGACUACGAUUAUGAGGUUUGUGAAUCAUAUCUGAAUCUUAGUUUAUUUCCAUCUGAUUAUCAUCCUGUGCUUAUUUUUCCUGUUUUCCCCUGGCAGACUCCAAUGGAAACUUUACAGAACAACUUGGUCACACAGAUGGAAGAGGUACAUAUUCUUACUUAUACCUUUUUAGCAUAUUGCAAUGUGUAAUUUUAUCUCUAUGCUGCAGAUAUGGGAGUCGGUGAACAAACAACCUGGUAAAGAAAAUAAACUGUUCAGUGACUACAUUGAGGUGAGCCAACAUAUUAGGUGUAGCUCUAUAGAGGUUCUUAUUUUCAACAUCUUCUUUCUUGUAUGUAUAUUUCUCAUCAUCACUUUUUUUUUUUUUGUGAAGGUGACGGUAUUUGCUUUACCUGACAGACUUCUAGUACAAGAUUUCAAAGAAAAGGUAUGUAGUAUUUUAAGUUUCAAAAGUAUCAGAAAGGAUGCAGAAGUUCAGAUUUUGAUAAGAACUGUUAAAGAAUAUGAAACAAUCAUUAUUCUCCAAAAGCUUAAGCUAUCAGAAAACGGUGUUUCAAUGUUUAUUUUCAACAUUUCUCUUUACGUCUAGGCUAGAAACUUUUCGAAAGGCCCAAGAUGUGAAACUAAAUUAAAUGAGAGGAAGUUAAAUAAUGCUAGGACUGUAGCGGGACUCGAACUCAAAAUUUUUUGUUUUAAUACCAUGUUAAAGAAUAUGAAAUAACUAUUAUUCUCCAAAAGCUUAAGCAAUUAGAGGACGAUGUUCUCAAUAUUUAUAUUCAACAACAACAAAUGAGUAACUAGUUCCAAAAUUGAAAUUAUUGGUUUGAUCAAAAAUUCCCCCCAUGGUAUCAGUUUUAGAGAAUCAAAACUAGUAGGUUAAAACUUUUGUCAUGUGUGAACCAUUUACAUCUAUUACUUAUGAUAUCAUUGUGUCAAGAAGCAUGUUAUCCAAAUGUUGAGCAAUUUUCAAGAAAAAACACAUGAAAAGAAAAAUUAUAUUACUUCUUUAAAAGGAUCUUCAUGUAUAUAAGAUAUUUUAUUGGCUACCUUUUCAGUGUAUAGAAGGAUUUACAUUCAUGGGGCCCAUGAAGUUUAUAAUCUUAACAAUAGCUAGAGCAGAAUUUUAAAAUUUAUUUUCUCUAACAAAAUUAAUAUUGUGUCUGAUAAUAUUCAACAUAAAGAAGUCAUCUUUUAAUAUUUCAAUGUUCUUUAAUUCUUACAUCGCAUUUAUAAAACAACCCUUGCUGCGCUGGAUCAUUAUGUUUAGUAGAUAUUUAUCAAAAUAACAUUUUAAUAAUAUAUUAGUCUUAACUUUGGUUCCUUAUGGCCUCCUCAAAUUUCACGUUAUUCCUAUUUAACAUUUUAAUUAACUUGCCUUUAGUGGCUUUGUGGAUUAAUUUUACAUUUGAUUAUUCUCCAGGUGACAAACUUGAGGAACUGGUUUUCCAAGGGAGGUCUUGCGGAGCUCCAACAGGACAAGGUCGCAGCAUCAGGAUUUGCGUUCAGUGCAAAAGGGAUAUGGGAAACCAUUAAACAAAACAAGCAACUUGACCUGCCAGCUCACAGGGUAUUCUUCUGAUUAUUUGGUUUUAGAGGUCACUUCAAUCUUAACAAUUAUUUUUCAUGCGAAUUAACCAGCACACAAUUUGAUGGCAUUUUAUAUCUAGAUCCUAGUGUCUACCAGCAUCUGUGAAAGAAUUGUUAGGGAAAAUCUUGAUGCUUUGGCAUUACAUGAGGUACUCCCUAUUCUUUUAUAUGGUUCUUGUCAUGUUUCCUUUGUAUCUCUCAUAACGCCUCUUCCUGUUUUGCCUUCUGCUGUACGGUAGGAUUAUAUGUCUAUGAAGAGUGGAGCACAAUAUUCUCCAAAGGAAUUCAGCACAAAGCUGGAGGGACUUCUAGAGUGCGUGUUGGCAAGGUAAGACAUUCUGUCCCUAUAAACGGGAUUAAAUAAAAUGCAUAUGAACACAGUAGCUAUUGCUCUUAAUGUGUUUCUUUACCUUCUCUGCUACAUGCACAAUUCUUGUCUGAAAAGUAUGUUGGUACUUGGUAAAGUGAAGUUGUUUUUACACGCAAGUUUUAUAUUAUCCAUUCAUUCUCUGCAUGAACGCAUGCAGAAAUAACUAGGCAAAGCCUAAAAAACGUGAGAGAAAUAAAAGAAAAUAUCUAUCUACUCUCUUAUUAUGAACAAACAAACUGAGAUAAAAGCAGAUUUCUUCUCGUCUAUUUGAAAAUCAAAGAGCGUCUGACAGUCUUUGAAGUGAAUAAGUGAUAUUUCUAUCAUAUAAAUGAUAGUGCAAGUUUUUUUUUUUGUUCUUUCUGCUUGAGUAACAAAUAUUUCUGACCAAUAUAAAUAUAUGAUCAAGUUGUUUGACCUAGAAUUGAAGCGCUCUAUGUCAACUUGGCAAGACCAUUUUACCAUUUUGUCUUCAGUUUCUAAAAGAAUAUCUAAUCAGUCGUCAUUGCUGAAUUGACCUUAAUAUAUGCGCUUCUCUUGGCAAUCGUCUAGUUACACUUGCAAAUGAAGGGGUCCAAGUUCAUGGUCAUCUGAGGGUGUGUAAAAGCUGCAUUAGUUGUAAAAUAGAAGCCAGAUGUUGUGGCAAACAGAAGGCCUGGAGUUACUGCUGUGGUAGGAAGCUGAUGUGAGAUUUUGUGCCCUAAAAGCAGAACUCUAAAUGGGAACAGCUUCUAGCUGCACUAGCAAGCAGUUAAGGAAUUCUAAUGGAAUCACUAUUAAGGCUUCUUCAGCAACCAUGAAAGGAAAGAGGAUUUAAUUCAACUUACCCUACAUGAUAGAAAAAUAUUUAAUUCAAGCCCCUCCACUACCACCUAAAGAAAGAUGAAUGAAUGAAUGAAAGAAAAAGGGAUCGCCUUUAUCCCAGCAGCAGGGGCUUGCAAUAUAACUGAAAAAUCACUGGGUAACUUUCUCAUAUAAGGACUUUCUUUUUAAUUUGGCUACGCCUAGGAAUCAACAACAUAGAAACUUUAUUAUUAAUUACCCUUUUGCUUAUUGAUAUCAGGACUAACAAGGAUUGGUAGAACAGCAAACAUCGAUCUUCUUGUACUUUUGGGUACUCGUAUAACUAUCAAAUACCAUUAAAGUGACCAAUUCCUGGAAGUAGGUGCUGAGGACAAAAAGUGAGAGUUACCAUGUCCCUCUAAUACCACUAUAAAUGGUGAUAUUGUGUUAACAGAAACAGAAGGUUGACUUGGGAUUAUAUGAAAAAGCACCUGCAUCUUUAGUUCAUAAUGAGAAAAUAUAAUAUCUAUGUUCAUGCCUUUAGUUUCAACGAUGUCAGGUUUUGUCAUGGUUAGAGCUUGUCUAUGCUUCGCAUCGGAGGUCUCCUAAAUAGCCCUUCCUGUAAUUGGGUUCCUUACCAUUUGAUCUGGAAAAAUUAAAAUCAUCUAUGCAUCUAUAUUUGAUAAUGAGUGAGAUUGAUAUACAUAUCACAGUAUCAUGAUUCCGACAUAUACAUUAUCAUAUCAACUGUUACACCCAUAACCUGCAAUUGGUGAAUUUGGAGUCGAUGUUCGUGAUCGAUCUUGCAGAGUAUAGAACAGUUGUUUGAAAUAUAUAUAUAUAUAUAUAUAUAUAUAUAUAUAUAUAUAUAUAUAUAUAUAUAGAGCAGGGCUGCUGUGCUCUCAGGAGCACGGAGGCCUCCGUGCUCCUGAGCCGUUUUCGAUGAUGGAGUUUUCGAAUCGACGAUCGGCUCCGUUAAACUUGAUCUAGCGUAUUUAAAGUUUCUAGAAAAUAAUUUUUGCGAUUUUUCGAUAUCAUUUACCUAGCAAUCAAAAGGAUUCAAAAUCAAUAAUUUUUAACGGCUGAAAAUAAAAUCCUAUAAAAAGUGGUGAUAUAGCACUAAAUUUUUCGAUCAGAAAUAUAGAUCUUGUUGUAGAUAGUAUAAAGAAUUUUCUAUCAAAAUUUCAUCUGAUUUGAAUACUUCUACAUCGUUAAACUUGAAAACGGCAGAUAUCAACCAUUAAAAAUUAUGGAUUUUGAAUCCUUUCGAUCACUAGGUAAAUGAUAUCGAAAAAUCACAAAAAUUAUUUUCUAGAAACUUCAAAUGUGCUAGAUCAAGUCUAACGGAGCCGAUCGUCGAUUCAAAAAUUCCAUCAUCGAAAACGGCUCAGGAGCACGGAGACCUAGCACGGAGACCUCCGUGCUCCUGAGAGCACAGCAGCCCUGCUCUAUAUAUAUAUAUAUAAUUGAUCAGCAGACUAUCAAAAUUCAGAUUUAGAAAUAUUCAAUAAAUGACAUCAACUCUUCUGAUGAGUCCACUAAUGAAUAUCCUAUUUCUUAUCAUAUAUUUAACUCUUUUCCCAGUCCUCUGCAUUUAAAUAAGAGUAGAUCUCAUAAUUACUUUUGGAAUUAUAUCUAGUAGAGUUCUACAUAUGCUAUCUCCUGCUGUUGCUUACAUGAUUAUUUGUCUAUUCCUUAGAUACGAUGCAGAGACUGACAUGUAUGAUGCAAAUGUGCGAGCUGCUAAACGCCAUGGGUUGGAGAAUGGAACACUUCAUGUGAGAUACCUUUUGCUUAGUUAUUAAGUUAAACUGUAAUAAUUGUGAUGAUCAAUGACUUCUAAUUAUGUUUUUGACAAGUGUUUAAUAUCCUUAAAAUGUUUAAGUUUUUAACAAUGCUUGAUUUCAUAACAGUAUUUUGAAAUUUUUGUACAGUGGACUGAUAUUUAGAAAAUAUGUAAUUUUGAAAUUCUCUUCCAUGAUGACUACUACAGGCAAUUUGCUUUUCUGAACAAUACUGUUCCCUUCCAUGACGGCCGCGCUGCAUACAAUUUGUUUUCUAAUGAAUACUCUCGAGUUUUGCAAUUUGUAGUUUUCAUCGAUUUUAGCAAGUAGGAUAAUUAAAUAUUAGCUAGUAGGUAUAAACCAAAUUGGGAUUGAUGUGAUGAUCUUUCUUGUUUUAGGUAAUGUCAUAAUGAUCAACUGCCUAUUCGAACUGACACGACACUUUGAUGACUUAAUAUAUUCUUAAAAUUGUGAACUACUCUCUUUCGUCUGUUUAAUCAAUUAUAUAUAGCAUUCGAGGCAACAUAAGACAUGAAACUGCAACCCUUUUUUUUCGCUCUGAUGAUCAUAAAUUUGUAACAAUGGUCAAGUUUUUUCAUUCUCUUUCUUGGAUAUAUGCAGCUUCUGGAGCCUUUUUGCAAGGAUAUGUUCAAUCGUCUUCGCACAACAACAGCAUGUGAAAGUAAAGAUAAAAUUGCUGCUCAAUUGAGAAAUGCUGAUGAUCCCGCCACUGCAGUUGAUGCUUCAGUCCAGGCUUGCUUGAAGGAGUUCACUGAGUCAUGCAAAGGUAAGUUUGUUUCUUUUAAUAUUACAAAAUCUAGUUAAUUUGCUUCCAGCCCAUCUCGUAGUCAAUUACUUUAUGUACCUCUAGCUACAAGAAAGGCUUCUCUAGAACUUGAAAAUAACAUCUUAUUUUGUAGUUUGGUAUUUUACUCCAUCUGUAGCUAAAAACCUACAAAUUUGACUGCUUUUCAUAUUCAUGGGAAUUCAAAACCUGAAUUCUCGUUGGCAUCUUUCCCCUUGCUUAAUGCUUACUCAUCCUGCUAGAAGCUUAAAAAUUUCCAAUAUUCCAGUUAUGUUUAUCAUAUUCUUGAUUUGUGCUGCUUAAAUUAGUUUGACUGCUAGAAAGCUCUCUUUACUUGCUGACUUUGCUCUUUGUAUAUUUUAGCUGCAACUGUAACUCGAUUAUUUUUAGUUCAGAAGUUCAACAAUUCAAUUAUUCUCAAUAUCUCACAAAUGGACCAUAUUCCUUUUAGAGUUGAGCUCAAGAUACCAAGUUCUGUGUGAUGAGAACUGCAAGGAGCUGAGGAAUGAGCUGACAUCAUUUGCUCAAAUCAAGGCAGAAAGCAUUAAGGUCUUUUUCUGCCAUCGCUUUUCUCUUCUGUGGCAUUCUAUAUUCAAUGACACUAUGUUUUGUAACAAAGCUUGUGAUAAUAAAAAGCCUAAAUGAGCACAAUGGGGACAAAGUACAGAAAUGUGAUUUCCAUCGCAAAAUUCUCCCUCAUAAAUUUUGGAGUUUCUCUUGGUGAUGAUGUUGCUUGGUUGUUUUGACUCAACAGUGGAAAAGGACGAGGAGAUAAGUGUAGGCCUCUCCUAUAUAAUGGAGGAUGGCUCCUCCAAUGAGUAUAUGUAUAUUUAUAAAUAUAAUGAAGAAAAGAAACUAAUAAAAUGAAAAGGGAGAAGGCAUGCUCGAGGCCGAGAAAACUGGUAGCUGCUGCUCUGACUAGAUCCGAAUUUUAUACUUUCGUGCGACCAUCCAAAAUCAUUAGAGCUUUACAGGGUGGAUACAAGCAGAAAACACAUUUCAUUUACUUUUCCAUACACAACGGAUCCUUCUAAAGUUUCUCAUCCUUGUGUUUUUUCAGUAGUGCUGAAUUCCUUCAAUAAUGUACCGUUUUCAUCUUCUUACAGUUUUCCUUCUCUCUCUGCCUUUUCAUAUAGGAGCAACGCAUGCGGGAGGAGCUGGAGCGCCAAAGAAUCGAAGCUGAACGUGAAGCAAAACCAGUGAGGGAAGAAGCAGAACGUUUGAGGCAGGAAGCCGAGCAUGCAAAGGUGGCUGCAGCGUGCGAAGCUGAGCGCAUCAACCAAAUACGAGAGUUGGCAUUACGCCGAGUUGAAGAAAACGCACAAAGAGGGGAGCCUCCACGAGGACUGGGAAUUGAUCCCACACUCGAUGCGGCUUUGAGCGUCUCACCACUUUGGCACAUUCUCCGGCCAUUCCUCACCUCUGAGGCCCCAACGACCGAAGGUUUGAUAAAUCCUCCGAAAAACACAUAAGUCUGGUUUGGUGUCGGCUGUCGAAAUUUGCUCUGAUGUUUGUGUCGUAUGUUGUUGCUAUUUCUGAACUGUUUGAUGUCCAGAUUUGCUCUGAUGUUUGUGUCGUACGUUGUUUUUACUUAUCAACUGUCCUGGCUUGCUGUAACAAAUAAAUACCGUAUGCAAUAAAGCGUCAACUGCCCUGGUUUGCUGUAACUAAACAGUACCUUCUGCAAUUGAGUUGUAGAAUGUAUGCGAUCAAGUGUCCUGAUUUGCUGUAACAAAUAAAUACCUCUAUGCAAUGCAGGUACGUAAGUUAGCGUGCUAUUACUUGUUGUUUGGGCAAUAGGUUCUUGAUCUUGUUUGUAGCGUUUUUCCCAUGCAGAGGAUACCCGUUGACCGUGUAAACCUCAAAUAUCAGGCCUUUCUGAUCUUCGGAAGAAGCAAAUAAUUUUGCAGGUUUUUUUUUUUUUUUUUUUUUUUUAAGAGAGAUAGAUAUCACGCUACCCGCUUCAUUUAUUUCAUUUGGAAAUAAACUUAGCUAGAAAUAUAAAUCAACUAGGAUUCAAACUUGAAUCUUAGAUAUCAACAAUUAAAUCUUUUGCCACUUGCUCUAGGGACGGUCGGUAAUUUUAUAGAUUUGUUGAUUUGGCAAGUAGUGCACCACUAACGGCAGACACGAACCCACAUCUAAUCAGAUUGUUUACGCAUUAAAGCACAUUCGCACUUUUUUAAAAAAAUUUUGGUGUACUAAGAUUGUGGAAGACAUACCAUUUUCAGCAAAUCUGUAGAAAACCAAAUCUCUGGCUCCCGCCUUUACAGCAUUAAUUGAAAAUUACGAAAAUCUAAAAAAGUCCAAUAAUUGACAAGCAUGCUACUACUCUGCAUUCUAACAGUCCGCUAUACAUUUCUCCAAACAUAAAUGCAGAAAUACGCGAAGAACAUCAUCAGAGGGGUAGCUCAAAGUACAUCUCUACGUACGCCAUAAUUUUUUCAAAACAUAUCUCAGUGGCAGGAGUGUUAAACUACAAGACCGACGUAUUCAAUUAACAACCUGCAUAUUCAGUUCUUCAAAAGCAGGCAGUGCCAACAAUGGAAGCAUCGCACCACAUUUUAUAUGUCAGACGCCCUGAAAAGGGUCAAAAGUGACAAGAAGAGGUUGAUGAUGUCGAGAUACAGAGCGACCGCAGCCCACACGUACUCGUCAUAAGCGUAGCGCUUUAUCAAGUUGUCCGUGUCGUAGACGAUGUACCCGCAGAAGAUGAGCGCAGCUAUCCCGCCGUAGAUCAUGUAAGAGAUCCUCCCGAGCGGAAAGAACAGCUGAAAGGACAAAAAGAAUUGAUCGUGUUAUACAUUUUUUUCUUUUUCUCGUAAUUGAUAGAGAGAACUCACCCAGGGACGGCGUGAACUGUACCUGUAUAAGCGCGAAGACGAUCAAUAUCAUCAGCGCAGCGAACAAGAACGGGCCGAGGAAGUUAAAGUCGUGGCCUCUUCUUGCCGCCCAGAAGGUGUAGAGGGUGAGACCGACGACAACGAUAGCUGUUAGGAAAACAGAUUCGAGGAUGACCUUCCCUGUUACGCACGCACGCAGAGAAAGAGGGUCACAAAAUUUGCAUACCAACUUUAAUACAAAAUUAUACCGAAAUUAAGGUCCAUUAAAUCUUCCGGUGCAUUAACAAAGUAUAGGUGAUGGUUUCCAAGCAGUAGCCAGUUCACAGAUUAGAUAUCAUAACCAAAUGAAUUGGCUUUCUGAGAACAGAGUGCGGUAAGAUUUCAGACUACCAGCAACACAGAUAAAACAGACAUUUCUUUGGUGCUAAUACAGAUCAAAAUCUAGAAAAUCUGUGUUCAUAUACAUUAGAAUUAAAGAACGCGUAGGGAUUUAAAUGUUACCCUUGGUGAAGGCACAAGUCAAUCCGACGGCGAAGCUGAUGGAGACCGUGAAAAGGCCGAGUAGCAGCAGAUUCACCGGAUGGUGCUGGUAGUAGUAAUACAGCGGGCAAAGUACUGCAACACAUUCAGAAAAAUUAAAUUCUUUAGUAAAACUACAGUGAUAUCCUCCUGCAUUGGUUCGAUCGUUAAACAAUUAACUAGACACGACAAAUUCAUAUGUAAAUAUCACAACCGCCUCUGUUAAUAGCAUCACCCCCAUCAGUAAAUCAGUGAAAUAUAUAAGGUCAAGUUUAUAAUUCGAAUAUAUAUAUAGAUAUAUAUAUAAGAAAGAGAACAUGAGAGGUGUGGACUCUACAAGCAUGCAGUACUUUACAUAUUAAAUAAAAAUACUACCGAAUAAAUUAAGCAAUUAUACUGGUGAGAGAGAAAGAGACUUGCCGAGGAAGGGGAGAAUGAUGAAAAAGAUGUAGAGGCCGAGACCCCCCGGGGAGGAGACGAAGAAGUAGGCGAUGGGGUGGACAUAGACGACGAUGGCGGCGACGGCGAUGGUGAGGAGCAUCUGGAUGGUCAGGAUCGAGUAGAUCUUCCUGAUGAACGCCCACCGCAGCUCCGGGCUCUCCAGCAUCAUCGGGUACAGCGGCCGCGCCCCGGACUCCACGUCGGGGCCCUUGUACGGAGGUCGAAACCACAUCUUCUUCCGAGAAAGGUGACGGAGCUCGAUCGAGGGAGCGGAUCAGCGAUCAGGGUUAGCGCUAGGGCUAGUGUUAUCUCCGGUGUUGAGCUCGCGGGGGCUAGGGUUAGGGUUUUAUCGUCGCUCGUGAGCGGAGGAGGAGAAGGUGGGAGAAGGCGAGAGAGAAUAAGAACCCGAGGAAAAAUGAGUAAGGAAAGGAAGAGAGAGCGGGAGACGCGACGAAUGUUCGAGACGGGUCUCGCACCGAAAAAACAAACACGAAGUGACACGCGGCGGUCCCUGAACUUGCCACGUCGCCCACUGACGCGAGCUUCGCGCGUCGUCUCGUACGGAUAUGCGGACCCAGCGGCUUUCGGGUAGACCGCGAGCAGCUUCUUUCCGACCACUAAGAGGGCGACAGCUCAUCACGGAUGAGUGGAGGUGGGGACCACCACCCGUUUUGCGGUGAGGGGGCGAGACGCUUCGAAGCAUAUAUAUAAAUAUACUUUGCCCGGAACGGAGGAUGGGGCCAGAGAAUUUUCUUUGUGCGCCCCAGAACACGAUUCGGCAGUGUUUGGUUUGGAAAUAAUAGAAAAAAAAAAAAAAAAAUUUCUUUGUUCUCCUUUUUCUUUUUUUUUUAAAUACAGUGUUUGAUAUUUGAGAAUAAUAAUUUUUUGAUUUUUGAAAUUGCUAUUUCAUUUUUUUUCUGAAACAAUCUUAUUCUCAGAUGGAAACAAAAUUAAUUAAAGUCUAAAUUUAAUUAUGAUUAUUAUGAUAUUAAAUUAUUAAUUAAUUUAAUUAAUAUAUUUAAACUAUUAUAUUUUGCUUAAAUAAUAAAAUUAUUUAUUUAUUUAUUAUUUAUAAUUAAUUAUUAAUAAUUUAAUACAUUUAUUCAAAACUAAUAUUUAUAUCGAUCAACCAUUAAUAUUUGUAUUAAUCUAAUUUUUCUUUUACUAGUUAUCUAGUAAAAUAAUUUACUAUCUAAUUAAAAAAUCAAAUUAUUUUUUAUAAUUAAUUAAUUAAUUAAUGUAUUUUCAUUUUCUUAUAUAUUAGGGAAAACUUUAAAAAAAACCUCCUGUGGUUUCACUCUUUCUCACUUUAGUACCCUAUAGUUUAAAGUGUAUUAAGUUGGUACACUGUGAUUUCGCACUUUCUCAUUUUAGUACUAUGUGGUUUAAAGUGUAUCAAGUUAGUAUCCUGUGGUUUCGCACUUUCUCACUUUAGUACCAUGUGGUUUAAUAUUUCAUUAAGAGAAAAAUAAAACCACAUGGUACUAACUUAAUACAAAAAUAAAACCAUAGGGUACUAACUUGAUACAAAAAUAAACCACAGAGUACUAACUUAAUAUACUUUAAACCACAGGAUACUAAAAUGAGAAAGUGCGAAACCACAUAGUACUAACUUGAUACACUUUAAACCACAGGGUAUUAAAAUAAAAAAGUGCGAAACCAUUGGGGGUUUUGAAGUUUUCUCUAUAUAAUAUUCAUAGCUAAUAAAUUUAUUAGUUUAUUAAAUUAUUUUUAAGUAAUAUUUUGAUAUUAAUUAAUUAGAUAAAAUAAUUUUAAUUUAAAAUUAUAAUUAUUAUUCUCCUUGUUCCAAUCUAACCAACCAUUCAAACACUAUUUAUCUUAUUCCUAGGAACAACCUAAUUUUUAUUUAAAUUAAAAAUUGGUCUAGUUUCUAUUUAUACCUGAACUUGUAUUUAUAUUCUUAUUAACGCAGCCGAUGGGAAUUAGAGCGCAAUGGAGGAAUAAUAAUAAGAAAAAAUUAAUUAUAUAGUUUUUUUAAUUAAGAAAGAGCCAUUAAUUAAUAAUCUAUAUGCAGUUGUAUGCUAAUACGAGAUUAUGAGUGUUUAUAUAGAGUUGGGUUCUGUUUUUUUUUUUUUUUUUUUUUUUUGGCUAAACUAUCGAGGCCCUUUAUUUGUGAGGAGUGAACAUUAUACUUGCACAUUUUGGCAUUAGUUAUAAUGACCAUAUCAGAUCUUUUCUGAAAAACUGAUUUAGAGUUUGGAUUGUUGGACUAGAAGUCUAGAAUAAUAGGAACAGCUGCAUGUUAUAAUUUUAAAAAUAUAGAUGUUUUAGCUAAUUAANNNNNNNNNNNNNNNNNNNNNNNNNNNNNNNNNNNNNNNNNNNNNNNNNNNNNNNNNNNNNNNNNNNNNNNNNNNNNNNNNNNNNNNNNNNNNNNNNNNNNNNNNNNNNNNNNNNNNNNNNNNNNNNNNNNNNNNNNNNNNNNNNNNNNNNNNNNNNNNNNNNNNNNNNNNNNNNNNNNNNNNNNNNNNNNNNNNNNNNNNNNNNNNNNNNNNNNNNNNNNNNNNNNNNNNNNNNNNNNNNNNNNNNNNNNNNNNNNNNNNNNNNNNNNNNNNNNNNNNNNNNNNNNNNNNNNNNNNNNNNNNNNNNNNNNNNNNNNNNNNNNNNNNNNNNNNNNNNNNNNNNNNNNNNNNNNNNNNNNNNNNNNNNNNNNNNNNNNNNNNNNNNNNNNNNNNNNNNNNNNNNNNNNNNNNNNNNNNNNNNNNNNNNNNNNNNNNNNNNNNNNNNNNNNNNNNNNNNNNNNNNNNNNNNNNNNNNNNNNNNNNNNNNNNNNNNNNNNNNNNNNNNNNNNNNNNNNNNNNNNNNNNNNNNNNNNNNNNNNNNNNNNNNNNNNNNNNNNNNNUUUUUUUUUUUUUUUUUGAGAGAAAUAGGUAGCACGCUGCCCGCUUCAUUUAUUUCAUUUAGAAAUAAACUUAGCUAGAAAUGUAAAUCAACUAGGAUUCGAACUUAAAGUCUCGGGUAUCAACUAUCAAAUUUUUUACCAUUUGCUCUAGGGGUGGUUGGUAGCUGGGUUCUGUUUUAUUCCCUGGGAAUUAUGAUUCUACUAUAUAGGAGGUAGAUUUCCUAUUAAAUUUUAUUAUUAUCAGUGCGAGAUCAAAAAUUAGUCAACUAAUACCUUCUUUCUGUGCUCGGUGCAGUAAAGCCCGAGUUGGUUCAUGGUACUAACUGUGUACUAAUUGUGCGAUUCAUUAUAAUUUAUUCUCGAUCACGAGUACACACACAAUUCACGCUUAAGUUACCGAGGGGACUUGGUUGGCACGUUUGUACAUGGAAGUAGAAUACUAGGACGAAACGUUUCAAACAAAGAACACUAGGUCGGAGGGAAAAUUUUAUUUUAUUUUUAUUUUUUGUUCUUACGUCAAACAAGAGAGAAUAUAUAUAUAUAUAUAUAUAUAUAUAUAUAUAUAUAUAUAUAUAUAUAUAUAUAUAUAUAUAUAUAUAUUGCCGUACUUAUUUAAGCUAGCUAGUAGAUGUUUCGGGAUGCAUCUAAAACAAUGGGGUCCUAGGGUUGGGUGUUGCAUGGGGGACUUUACGUGAGUAACGCAUCUGGAAUAAGCUGGAAGCCCCCGGAUAGUGGAGGAAAAUUCUUCCAAGUUGGGAGCAGGUCACGUGACAUCUCGAACCAACUACAUCUACAUCUGACCGGACGAAAAGUCUAAAAUAUAGCAGAUGCACCAUAUCCCUCGUACAAACUCCCAAUUAAUCAUGUUUAAAAUAUAGCACUAAUGUCACGUGACUUAGAAUCUUAUACCCAUUUUACAAUAGUCCUUGAAUAAAUAAAUAAAUAUAUAAAAUAGUGGAUCUGGGACAAACACCCAAAGAGGGCCCAACCAUUAAAGAAUGGAUUGGGCCUAUUGGGUCUAGUGCAAUCCAAAAGCAAGAAAUUCGUCAAUUUUGUAACCUCCACUUUGCUCCUUCCUAUGGCAGUCGAAAAGCCGAUCUUCGUACAAUUAUCAAUCCGAGUUCGACACCUCAGUAUCUCGGUGCCGAAACAAACACCGAUACCGACAACGUUUUUGCUGUAUUUUUUGAUAUUAACGUUGAAAUAUCUUAUUGAUAUGCCGAUAGAGCCAACACAAACACACGCUAUAACUUCUACCAAUUCUUAAAAUGGCUAUGCUGGUAUGAACCGUUUUUAAUCCCCCUGAUUAGUUUAAAGUAUGUGGUGGAUUAUAAUUGACAAAUUUACUGCAAGUAAAAGAGUUAAUAAGAGAUUAUCAAAUUACCAUCUAUCCGUAUAAAAUGUACUCAAUAAGAGCCAUCCCGGCUCAUUUAAUAUGCAUAAAUAUCUUAUUUUAAAAUUUAUUUAAUGGACUAUACAAAGCACACUCUAUAAUAGCGAAGCCGUCUCAUUUAAUGUAUCAAAAAAUAUUUUUAAAAAAUGUUUAUUUAAUGAAAACAUAAUAAAACAGUUGGAUCUAUCCAAUUUAUGUAAGGCACUCCUCGUUGAACAGCUCAACACUUUUAUGAAUUUCGUACAGCAUUCAUUGCUCAUUUUUCUUUUUAUUUUCUUAGAAAUUUAAUAAUUUAAUUUAUUAAUAUUUCUUCCUGCUGUUUCUUUUAAUGCCCCGGUCAAAAAAAAAUGUUUAACGGAAAUAUAAUACAAAUUACUGACCUAGACCGAAAUAUUAUCGAUAGUACUAAACUAUUAGUGCUAUUAGAUUUUCGGCCUUAGUUGAAAAAAAUAUACGGCUAGGAUCAUAGUUAGUUAAUUCGGAUUCGGCAAAAAUUCGGUACGGAUAUAAUACGCAUAAAAUUCGUUUUCUAAUUUUUAAAUUCGUUAAAAAUUCGGCUUAAAAAAUGAAUUCGGUAUAAAAUAUAAAAUAUAAGAUAAUUUAUAUUUAAAAAUAAAAAUUAUAAGCUUUUUAUUCAUAUUUUCAAUAAUUCGGCUGGCCAAAAAAUUCGCGAAUAAUUUUCUUUCUUUGGAAAAAAAUUCGUAAAUGGACCAUUUAAUUCGGAUUUUGAAUAAUUCGUGAAUAAUUUGCAAAUAAUUCACGAUUUAACUAACUAGGGUUAAGAUAAUGUGGACCUUCUUGGGUUGAGUGAGUUAUUGGUUUAAUAAUAUAAUCUGACGGGUGAAAAUAGUUAAAAGGUUAAAUUUAACGGCGAAAAACUUGAUGGUAUCAAACACUUGGUGCUAUCGAUAAUAUUCCAGCCGAACUCCAAAUUAAUUAUGUUAUAAUAUAAUAUAUAUAAUAAGAAUUAGGUUAUUAUAUUAUUAAUAUUGCCAAGUGUACGGUGCUAUCAGAUUUUCAAUUCUUAGAUAAGUAAAUGUAGAGGUCUUCUAGGAUUGAAUGGUUGGUUUGUUAAAUAGUAUAAUUUUAAUAAAUAAAAAUGAUCAAAAAAAAUAUUUAACGGCGAAAAAUUUGAUGGUACUAAACGGUUGGUAAUAUCUACAGAAACAAGACUCUAUAUGAUAACAUACCAAAAGAAUAUACAGCAUUUGUAUGCAAUGUAAAAAAAUUUUAUUAAAUAUUAUAAAAGUUUAUUCAAAAUAACUCUGAUAAAAUCUUUUUCAUCUCGCGGAACCCACGUGGGCAGCUUACCAAGGCUUAGGGCCAAUUACGAGCCGCCACGCACCCACCACAUGGGCCCACAUACGUGACUUAUUGCGCUCAACGACCAAACCUAACUCCUCACCUCCCAACCAUAAAUCCCGCCCAUUUAUAUCCCUCUGAUCCUCUUCCCUUACCACACCACCCCCCCCUUAAUUAUUUUUUUGUUUUUCAAAAUAUAAAUAAAUAUAGUUAUCCACCGUAUUGAGUAUAAUAAUCGGCUAAAAAUUUAAUAAUUAAUAGUUAAGACUUCAAAUUUGAAGUUAGCUACUUCAUACUUUUAGCUAAAUUUAUACUUUUUUAAAAAUAAACUAAGCAUAUGCUUUACUUUCUUUCUUUCUUUCUUUCAAAAUAAUAAAAUAAAUAAAUAGAGACGUUUUAAAUUAUAAAACAACUCGUGUAAUCGCUUAAAAAUUAAAUACUUUGACUCCAAUAAUUUAAAGAAUUUAUAAAAUUUAAUAUUUAAAACUAUAUUUGAUCAAGUUAGCUUGAUUCAUUUGAAAAUCUACCCCCCCAAAAAAAAAAAAAAAAAAAAAAAAAACUUAAAAGUUGAUCAAAUUAAGAGCUAUUUAAUUUGGAAGAGGAAUGCUAGCUAGCUAUUCCUAAAAUUGAAAUAAAUAGGAUUGUGAUUCUUACAACUCUGUUAUAUAUAUAUCCAGGAAUAUCAUCGUUAGUUCGUUCAUUAGUGCUUUUCUUUUAAUAACAAUAUAUAUAUAUAUAUAUAUAUAUAUAUAUAUAUAAUAGUACUUCUCAAAGCUCUAGUUAAAGAGUAUAUAAGAUCAUAAUUUUUAGCAUUUUGUAUUUUAAGAAUGGGUUAAUAUGUAGAAUUAGGCUGGAAUACUAUUAAUAGUAAAACGCUCUUUUUGCUAUCAAGUUUUUAACCCUUGGAUGAAAAAUUGUAGGGUCGGGAUGAUAUUAGUUGGUUAGAGUUGAGUGGUCCCCCUAGGGUUGAGUGGUCCCCACUGGGUUAUAGUAUUUAAUCCAAUGGUUAGAAGUAAUGAAAAGAGUUGAUCCAAAGGCUAAAAAACUAGUAGCAACAAUGGGAUUUUGCUACUAAUAGUAGUCCAGUCCAACUCUAAUAUAUAUAUAUAUAUAUAUAUAUAUAUAGCUAGGUAAGGGGCGCGUGUUAGUACAUUGUUAAUUAACCUGCGCGCUGAUAUAAAUAAAGAGGCAGGAGCAGGAGAGUUGGCUUGGCUACGUAUAUACACCUCCAUAUAUCCAGCUCCUAGCUAGCUAACUGAAGCAGUACUGCUCAUCUUCUCGCAUUCUUUCUUUUCUUUUCUUUCCUUUUGUUUUAUUUUUCUUUUUGUGUGUUUUGUUUUUGGUUUUUCAUUGAUUCGGGACGCGGUGGGAUCGAGGAUGACGGCAGGGGGGGAGAGGAAGGGGGGGAGGGGGACGGGGAGGGGGAGGGUGACGGUGGUGGCGAAGUCGACGGCGGUGGGGGUGAAGCCGGUGCGGGCGGGGAAGACGCACCCGCUGUCGGCGCCGGACCACGCGAUGGGGCGGCACACGCUGCACCUGGUCUACUACUACCGCCCCAGCCCCGCCCUGGACCGGGACCGCCUCCUGGAGUCGCUCUCCGAGGUGCUCUCCUACUACCCGGCCAUGACCGGCAGGCUGACGUGGCAGCACCACGACCCGCAGGACGAAACGGCCGGCGCCGGCUCCGGGGCCUGGGUGGUGAAGUGCAACGAUGCGGGCGUCCGCAUGGUGGACGCGCGUGCGGACGCCACGCUGGAGGAGUGGCUGAGGACCGCGAGCGACGAGGAGGAGAUGGAGCUGGCCUACUGGGAGCCCAUGGGACCCGAGCCCUACGUUUGGUCCCCCUACUACAUCCAGGUUCAACCCCACUUCACCAUGAAACACCCCCCCCCCCCCCCCCCCCCCCCCCCCCCUUUUAUUUAUUUUAUUUUUUUUUUGCUUUUGCUAGACUCUUAUAGUUUAAUUUAAUUACCUAAAUUUACAUGUUUUCCAUAUUAAUUAAUCGGCUUUUUUUUUUUUUUUUUUUUUCCUGAAUCGAAUGACUCGGCCAAAAUAAUUUUAUCAAAUCUAGAAACUUCAACUCUAUUGUAACAAAAGAAUAGCAUUGUCACGAGUAAUAGUUAAUAGUUAUACACUAGCUAGGUUGAGGCAUUCAAGGCCAAGCAAAAAUUCUCCGCUUCUUAAUUAUCUUAAAAGAAUGUUUGCGAAAUAUGUUGUUGUUAAACCCCUGUAUCUCAAAAUAGAGCCUUUUGACCUAGUCAAAGUUUCAUUGGAUAAAAAGAUACUAACUUAUAGACGGAUAGAUAAAAGUAAUAAGAAAGUUCACUUUAAGACAAGUGUCUGAGGAUUUACAAUCUUUCAAGAACUUAUGGGAGACUUUGUGUGUUUAGAUUAGUUUAGUUUAGUUUAAUCUAGUUAGUUUAGUUUAAUCUAUAGGAACUUAUGCUACCUUCCUCUGAAAAAAAAAAGAAAAAGAAAAAUAAAACUAACCGAAGAACCCCUUUAAUUUACUUAAAAUCGUAAACUUUCAAUAUAUAGAAGUCAAAACGAAUCAGUCUGAUCUCGCUAGUAGAAGAUCACAAACAGGCUAUAGAAUACUAAUGUUGGAAUCUAGAUUGUAUAAAAAGAGAUUAUAACCGGUUGCUAGGACUAAUUUGAUGAUUGUUAAGAAAAAUGAGAGCUCGUCCUCCUGUACGUACCCUAUACUGCAGUUUCUAUAUGGAACUUGAACCUCCUAAUUUCCGCUGAUGCUAGCAUGAUAUAUACUUGAUCGCCAGAGUACCAAUGAUUUGGCACAAAUACUAAUGCUAUAUCCCAAUUGUACCGAAUGAGGCGGGGAUUUGAGUUCUUCUACUUGAGAGGACUUUGAGAUUGGGCUGUAACAAUGGGAAUUAAUGUGCUUGGUGAAAAUCUUUUAAUUGGGAGCUUCGAUCUCCAGAUUGAACAUAUAAUAAAGAACUAAGAAUUAGAUACAUCUGUUAUCUAAUCCUUCGACGGAGGAGGGAUUGAACGAUUUGAAGAACAGUUAUGAUUUUCUUUUACAUUAAAACGCUCCUAUAGAUUUUCUACAUGAAACAACAGCUUAAUUUGAAUCCGAAAUUCUCUCGCUUAGGCCUUGGAACUCGUUCAUAUUUAGCUUCGUUAAGUCACGGCACAUUACAAGAAGUUUUGUACAUUUUAUUUGCAAAACACUCGAUUGUCACUCAUACUCAUUGCCACAUAGAAUUCAACUCUCCCGUACGUGAUCAAUUGACAUCUUUUAAUAUUUCUGAUGCUAUUUCUUUUUUUUUUUUCCUUUUUUUUUUUUUUUUUUUUUUUAGAAGUAGGUAGCACGCUACCUGCUUUGUUUAUUUUAUUUAGAAAUAAACUUAGUCGGAAAUGUGAAUCAACUAGAAUUCGAACUUGGGUCUCGUAUACCAAUCAUUAAGUUCUUUGCCACUUGCUCUAGGGACGGUCGGUAUUUCUGAUGCUAUUUCAAACCAGGAUUAGUUGGUUAGAGAAGAAGAAGAAGAAGAAGUAGUGGAGAUAGAAUUGCAUCAAACCAUUCCCAGCAGCGUAUCUACAACAUGAUUCUAUAAAUAACAGAUCAAACCCACCGGGCACCAGUUUGACAAGAAAUAUUGCUCCUCCUUUUUCUUUUCUUUUUUUUUUUCUCUCUUCCUUAUAAGUUAAAUAAGUAUUAUAAUUCUUCCUGUUUUUCUGGUGAAAGUAAGAAAAGAAGAUUAUUUAAGUAAAGAGAGAGUUAGUUAGUUUGGCUAGCUUAUGCGUGCACGUAGUAUUUGAAUAAUAUUGGUGCAUGGUGUGCGAUGCAGAUAACGGAGUUCAAGGAAAAGGGGUACGGGGUGGGCGUGAGCUGCACCCACAUGCACGGCGACCCCACCUGCGUGGCCGUCUUCCUGAAGGCCUGGUCCGACGCCCACCGGCGCGCCGUCCUCGCCCACCAUCCUUUCUUCCAACCAACCGCCUUCCUCUCCCCUUUCGCCGCGCUCGCCUCCCUCUUCUGGCUCCGCAUCGCCUCCGCCUCCUCCUCCUCCUCCCCUGCGGCGGCGGCGGCGGCGGUGGAGGGGGAGGCGGCGCUGACCCUGGGCGUUGACUUCCGGAAGCGCAUGUCGGCGCCCCUCCCCAUGGGGUACUACGGCAACGCGGUGUUCUUCUCCCGCGCCCGCGCCGACCUGUCCCGCGGCUGGGCCCACGCGGCCGCCGAGCUGGACCGCCACGUGGCGGAGCUCGACGAGGGCCGCGACGUGUGGGCCCACGCCCAGUGGCUCCGCGCGCGCCCCCGCGACGCGCCCUUCCAGAUGUACGGGCCCGAGCUCACGUGCGUCGCGCUCGACCACGUGCCCGCCUACGCCGCCGAGUUCGAGGCCGGGGUGGGCCCCGCCCACGCCGCGUUCCGGAUCGGCGGGGCCGAGGGCGAGGGCCUGAUCGUCGUCGCGCCCUCUCCCCCCGAGGCGGGCGACGCCGCGCGGACGGUCACGCUCACGCUCCCCAGCGAACUCACGGCUCAGAUCUGCCGCGACGACCACAUACUGCGAUACGGCCCCGCCAUCAUGUUCGCGCCCCCCAAAAUUUAAAACGACUUAGUAUGCAUGCGCGCUCUCUCCAUCGUGAUCUUCCCCACUUUAAAAAAUAUAUAUGGGCCGGGUCGGGUCUUCUUGUUUCGGAGUCUUUCAUUGAUUUUUAGAGGAAACAUUUGUUAAAUUCUGCACCAUUCCGAACAUUUCAUAUUUUAUAUAUAUAUAUAUAUAUAUAUAUAUAUAUAUAUAUAUAUAUAUAUAUAUAUAUAUAUAUGUUGGGUCAUCAGGGCUGUGAUUUUUCAGAUAUAUUUCAUUUGGAGUUCAUCAUCAGUUUCGCAUGUAUUGUUCCAAACUACAUAUAUAUAUAUAUAUAUAUAUAUAUAUGCAUUANNNNNNNNNNNNNNNNNNNNNNNNNAUAUAUAUAUAUAUAUAUAUAUAUAUAUAUAUAUAUAUAUAUAUAUAUAUAUGUUCGCUUAAUUUAUUAUUAUAGUUAUAUACAUGAAAUUGUUUGCUAGCAUCUUCUGCAAAUAAAAUAUUCAAGUGCAUAUAUCGUUCGUUGUUGUCGAUCAUCCUGCUUUGUCGUGGAAUUUCUUCUUUUCUUGUAUCGAGUAAUUAAUUGAUAGAUUGGAAAUUUAACCUGCAGCUAGCUCUGAGAAAUCUAAGCUACUUUAUGGUUGCCUCUUAUGGCUAAGGGCGUGUUUGGUCGAAACAAAUUAGCCAUCUACAACUUGUGUUACUCUAUUGAGUGCCAUCGUUCGCACGAUCAAGGAACCGCUCUUCCUUAGAGAUUAUAUUCCUCUCGCGGGUCGGGAAAGACUGUUGACCGAACUCUAUUACUAGAUUUGUCGUGCUACCUUACCGGGAAAGAGAUGUGUACCGAGAGACAACGUACGACGGACCGUGACGGCGCGGCAACUCGAUCGGUCUUAAUGGCUUGAAUCACAUUGAAUAGUCAAAAUGAUCGGCUAGGGAUCUCAUCACCUUAACAAGCCCACAGAUUGUGAUAGACACCGAUUGACAAAGGUCUUAAUUUGGUCAUAAUCUUACAUAAUCUAGAUCUUAUUAACUACAUAAAUUUGUCUCGUGCGAACCUAUUACACGCCUAUUUUGGGCAUCCGAUGCUUUUCCUAGUGUCUAAUACCUCAGGCAAAUCCUUGCGACGAUCCGCUCCAAUGUAAUGAGUUUUUUGGAUCUAGCUUCGGACAACUCUUUUGUGGUCCACUCAAUAAUAAUAUAUUUACGCACGCAUCAUUUGUUACACCUAACUGUUCUGUUUUCCUUUCAGCAGGUUGAUGAACAAGAGAUGAUCGAGUGCAUGCGAGGUACCCUGUGUUUGCCCACCGUCUUUUAAAUUGAGCAGGGUGAAAUUAAGAUUCCUCUAUAUAUUAUAUCUUAUAAAAGCCCAAUUAAGUCGGGUUAGCACUACCAUUCGCAAACAAUUCCUUUUUUUUUUUAAGAAAUAGGUAGCACGCUACCCGUUUCAUUUAUUUCAUUCAGAAAUAAACAUAGAUAGAAAUGUGAAUCAGUUAGGAUUCGAAAUUGAGACCUCGAAUACCAGCCAUCAAGCCUUUUGUCACUUGCUCUGGGGAUGGUCAGUCAAACAACUCUUGCUCAUUACUUAUUUGGACCAGCAACAUUAGUGGAACGGCACAACCAGCAUCCAAUACGGGCUAGGUCGAUCAUGUCGGAGUAACUCGCCUAAUUAACCUGUUUCAUGCCUCUCACAGAAAAGUUGGAACCAUUUUUUUUUUUAAUUUUUAUAAAUUAUGAACCAAAUGCCAGAUUGCUGAUGUAAAUCUACUAAUAAAGUGUAAAGAAGGGGACUGUAGGAUUGCAUGAUGAUGUCGACUAAAAACCGUACUAAAAUUUGGCCCGUGAGCAGUACUACUACUGCCCGCACAUUUUUGGUUCUCUCCUCUCCUCUCCUCUCCUCUUGAAUAUUGAGUGGGCGCUGAUCACUUAAUUUGUAUUCAUACUGUAGCUCAAACAAAUCAAGGUGAACGAAGUUGGAUGCUUUUAAGAAAGGUGGCGUUUCAAUUUUGGAAUGUGGAACCUAAUUUGUAUUUUAAGAAAAAAAUAUAUAUAUAUAUAGUAGAGCUAUUAUGCUAUCGAAAGUAUAAAGUAGUUGAUGCUUUUGAUUUUUUAGCCCUUGGAUCAACCCUCUUGAUCAGUUUUAAUCAUUGGAUUAAUAUUAUUACCCAAUGGAGACCACUCAACCCUAAAACGACGACUAUCAUCCUAACCGUCCAAUCUUUACUCAAAGGAUUAAAAAAUCGAAAGGACCAACUACUUUAUACUUCCAAUAAUAUAGUAGCUCUACACUAUAUAUAUAUAUAUAUAUAGUGAGGCUACUAUGCUAUCGGAAGCACGGAGCCUUCCGUGUUUCCAGCUCGUUUUCAAUGUUGCGACUUUCGAAUUGUCGAUCGGCUAACUUGAUCUAGAGUAUUUGGAGUACCUAGAAAAUAAAUUUUAUUAUUUUUCGAUAUCAUUUGCCUAGUGAUCGAAUGGGCUUAAAAUCAACAAAUUUCAAUGGCCGUAGUGAGCCGUUUGCAAGUUUAACGGUGUAGAAAUAUCCAAAUCACGUGAAAUUUUGAUAGAAAAUUCUUUAUACUAUAUAAAACAAGAUCAAUAUCUUUGAUUUAAAAUUUCAAUGCCAUAUUAUUAGAUUUUGUAAGAUUUUUAUUUUCAGCCGUUGAUUUUGAGCCGCUUCGUUCACUAGGCAAAUGAUAUCGUAAAAUCAUAAAAUUUAUUUUCUAGGUACUUCAAAUACUUUAGAUCAAGUUUAACGGAGCCGAUCGACGAUUCGAAAGUCGCAACAUCGAAAACGAGUUGGAAGCACGGAAGGCUCCGUACUUUCGAUAGCAUAGUAGUCUCACUCUCUCUCUCUCUCUCUCUCUCUCUCUCUCUAUAUAUAUAUAUAUAUAUAUAUAGUUUGACUAUUAUACUUUUAUGAGAAUAGUUUUCUUUGUACUUAUAAGUUUUCAGCUGUUUUCAUCCGUUAAAUUAUACUAUUUAACCAAUCACCCAUUCAAUUCUAGAAGAUCACUAUUAUUCUAACCGCGCAUCCUUUUAUCCAACGACCAAAAAUUUAUGAGUAUAAUAAGCUCUAUGCUUAUAAAAGUAUAAUAGCCCUAUAUAUACACACACACACCCAACUUGUUAUCUGAUUGAGCUGGAGUUCGUUUAUUGCACCCAAUCCCAACCGCAUCCACAAUGCAAAUCCAACUUAAAUUCGCAGAUCUGAAUCGAUUCGGUUUUUAAGAAUCAAUGUUUGGAGUAAAUGAGGGGACCCCAUUCAAUCCACCGUGGGAUAUGUUUGUUAUCUGCAGUGCCACAUGAAAAGUUUAGAAUUCGAUUCCCCAGCAUGAAAAUUUACGAAAUAGGGCUCGAGUCUUUUAAAGGUUUUUCUUUUUUCUUUUUUUUUUUUCCCUUCAAAGAGAGUAGGAUAGCAUACUAUUCAUUUAGUUCAUUUUAUUUAUAAAAAAAAUUUAACUAAAAUUAUGAAAUAACUAGAACUCAAAUUUAAAAUCUUCAAUAUCAAUUAUCAAAUCCUUUACUACUUUCGCUAGGUGCGAUGGAUUACCACAGUAUAGACAGUCAAAAAGACUUCAUGAGAAGUAGGGAUUUACCGUCAAGGAGAAAAAAAAUCAAUUUGUAAAGAUAAAUCAUAAGAAAAAUGAAGCUUGCAAAAUUGACUCUCUUAAUUGGGACAAUCAUUGCAUGAGAUUUAAUUUCAAGCUCUCUCAGUUAAAAAUCACCAACUUUUUACCUGUGAACCAAAAUUUAACUUCUUCAAUUUUUAUUUAUCAUAUUGUCUUCAAUUCUUUGUUCAGUGAAUGUACUUAUCUAGUUUAAUACACUAGCCAACUCCCUACCCCACCACCAACCCUCAUCCCAGAAUAAAAAAAAAAAAAAAAAACAAAUCAUAUUAUCUAUAAGUGUACGGGUAUUGUAUGUGAUUUCCAUAUGCAUCUAGACCUUUUCUACCAGUAGUUUUUACUUAAAGUUUUCCAUAAUUAAUCGAGUAAAAAAAAAAAACUAGCUAAAAAUGUUCCAUUUAUUAGGCAUUUAGCCAGAGCUAUAGGUGGGCCGAGGAAGUUGCUUGUCGGAAAGCUACAACCACGUGCACAUCACCUCGCAGGCCAGUAGGCUGAUGCCAACUCGUGAACCGUCCGAUCAAAGGGCGCUCCGAUGGACGGUACACCGACGCCCGCAUAGCAACCCUUUAUGGUGCCGCUCGUUCCGCACAAACGGGUGCCUUCCACAGUCGCAGUGAUGUCGACACGUAGCGGGCCGGGGAUCCGACGUGGCAGAGCCUACCCGCCCACGUGCGCGUGGGACCCGGGGGAUUAAAGUGGAAAAAUCAUAAGCCGCGUCGGAUAUACUGACAAUUAAUUAAUCAUAUUUUGUCAUAUAAAAUAGUAGCAAUGCCCAAUGCAUUUUCCCCUUUCCCGACGUGUAAAUAUUUUUUUAACUAAUAGAGAGUCACAAACAAUAUAGUAAUUUCAUAUUAGAAUUAUAUAUAUAUAUAUAUAUAUAUAUAUAUAUAUAUAUAUAUAUAUAUAUAUAUAUAUAUAUAUAUAUAUAUAUAUAUAUAUAUAUAUUUCUAAUUUUAGCCUCAUCAACUCUAUUUCAUAAAAAACUCAAUAAAAUUUUUCUAAUAUAUGCCAAAGAGAAUCUUACACAAUGUGUGAACUGCAUCUGUUUAUAGUCAUCCCAGUUUAGUUGCUUCUCUCCCCUCUCCUCCUUAAUUUUUGCAAUUCUUGUGUGCUCCUCCUGCAAUUUAUUAAGUUUUUAAUUACUUACAAUAUUAAGUACUUGGAAGUUAAAAAGAAAGAAAGAAAAUUUAUAUAGAGGUCCCCACACAUCAUAUAAUAUUACUUAUUUUUCAAUUACUAGAGAAUUUCCUUUUUUUAAAAAAAAUUCCCUAUCUUUUCAUCCUUUUGUANUGAUGGGGCGCUCCGUCGAUUGGUCCCCACGGGGGUUCGGUCCUUGAGUGGCCCGAUGGGUGCCACGUGUCGGGACGGGCGGGGAUAUGGGAGAAGAGGGCCCCACGGCGGGGGGUUGGGGGGGAUGUUCGUACUACGGUCACAUCGCGUGGGGAGUGGCGCAUGUGAUGUGAGCCGGGAGGAUCGGGGGCCCCACUCGCUGUCCUCUUUGUUCCCCAUCCGUUGAAAAUUCUUUAAUCAUCAUCAUCAUAAAUCUCCAUCCGUUGAAAAUUCUUAACCAUCAUCAUAAAUCGUCCGUUCUAACUUCUAAGUCGGAAACAUUUCAUAUCUUUACAAUGCGAAUUAUUAGACUAAUUAACCUGUUAUAAAAAUUUAUCAGAUUAUAACUGAGAUGAUUAAUAACCUAGCGCAUAAAUAAUGUUACAUUACAAAUUAGUUUUAAAAUAAUUUUGCGAAUAUACAUACGUAGUAAAAAUAGGAAAAAAGUUUAGAUUAAAAAGAGAGAUAUGAUUUAUAAAAUUAACUAUAAAUUACAUAAUUUUUAAACUGUUGUAGGCUGUGUUUGCUAGAAAAAAUUUCUAAGCAAUUAUUUUUUUUGCAACAGUAACUAUUUAUUGCUUUAUUUAUUGUGAAAAUCCAAACUUAACACUGUAGUCGGGAGUCGGGACCACAAGUCCACUUGAUUAGUACCCACUUUAUAAUUUCUCAAUUCAGCGGUGUUCCCGUCAAACAACCAGAACGUAUUAUUAUUAUUUUUUUUAAAAAAAAACUAAAAUUAAAAAAACAGGGGCAUUAUUGCCAAGUGGGCGUGCACGAAAACAACGAACGGGGGGCAGUUCGCUGACGUGGCACUCUGGGGUUGCAGCAGGGUUUUUUAAACUUAAUAAAAAUAUAAAAAUAUAAAAAACUAUAAUAAUAAAAUAGAAACUCACCUCGCGACGAAGCGGGGACGCCGCGGCCAAAUCCCAUCCCUCUAUUUCUCCCUUUCCAUAUUCUUCUCCCUCCUCAGUCCUCCCACCUCCGCCCCUUUUUCUAAAAGCCCCUUGCCAAAAUGUUAAACUAAAUUAUAAUACUAAUUAUUAUUAUUAUUACUAUUAUUAUUAUAAAAAAAAAAGUUCACAUAUAGAGAGUAGAUGUAGAGAGUGCUCUCUCUUGCUCUCUCUCUCUCUCUCUCUCUCCUCUCCUUCUAGCCUCUCCUAUAAAUAUACUGAUUAAUAUAUACUUAUAAUCACCUCUACGAGAGCUCCGCCGCGGGAGAUCGCCGGAAUCCGCCAUGGAUUCCGGCGGGUCGACGUCGGCGAGGGCGCUUCUAGAGAAGCCGCUCGCGGAGCUCACUGAGGAGGACAUCGCUCAGCUCACGCGAGAGGAUUGUCGCCGCUUCCUCAAAGAGAAAGGUCCUCUUCUUCCUCUCCGCUUCUCGACCCUGCUCCUCCCUACCGAUCGAGUCCGUUCCCUUCUCCUUUCGUUUACAGCUCCUAAUUACUCUCCUGAUCAGGUAUGCGGCGCCCCUCCUGGAACAAGUCGCAGGCGAUCCAGCAGGUCAUCUCCCUCAAGGCCCUCCUCGAGGGUCGCCCCGACUCCGCUACCACCGCCACUCGCCAAAAGCCACCGCCUCCGCCUCCUCCUCCUCCUCCGCCGCCGCCGCACGUGAGCCUCCACGCCCUAAACCCCCUCUUUCUCACUCUCCAAUUUCACAAUCGAGUCGCUUAUUGUUCGAAUCCACCCCCCUCCCCACCAACCCCAGAUUAACCUCUCCUCCCCGCCCAAGGACCCGAGCGGGGACUCUCCGUCGCCUCCGCCGAAGGCCCCGUCGCCGUAUCGCAGACGAGAUCCGACCCCGCCGGCGUUCGCAGCCGGCGACCCCUCGCUCCGGCCGACCCUCGCCGGAGGAAACCCCCUCCCGUCGCCGGAGAACCGCUGCUUCUCUCCCAGGUUCUCCUCUCUCUCUCUCUCUCUCUCUCUCUCUAGACCCUUGCUAUCGUGCGCCGCUUGUGUCCGUGCGCCUCCCCUCGCCCAUUCCACUUUUGAGAGUGUUUAGAUUCUCUUGAUCGAAAGCGACGCUCGGCGAUCCAACGGCUGGGAGAGCCCGACUGGAUAGGGACGCCUACCUAAGGGGGCAAAUGGCUUUCCCCCUUAGGACCACUAGUGGUGGUUGUCGUCGUCGUCGUCGUCCGUGAAUACGUAUAGAAACUUCUAUGAGUACUCUCGGGGUUUAGAAGUUUCUACCCGCCGUAAAACGGGUUUUAUCCUGGUGGACGGCCACGAUUUGCUUUUGUUUUCGUGAUGCGUGAUGAUGAUGGGCCUUGGGCCGUUUGCAGGGCUGCGGCGGAGGUGCCGGCUGGUCAGAUGACCAUCUUCUACGACGGAAAGAUCAACGUCUACGACGGAGUCAUGCCCGAUAAGGUUAAAUAAUCGAACCGUCAUGCAUCGUAUUCGUGUUACGGAAUGAGCCUGACUCGAACCGGAUUUGAUUUGCAGGCGCGGGCCAUCAUGCAGCUCGCCGCGAGCCCUGAUGGCCGCGAUUUCGGGCCCGGUCCGGCUCACUCCAUCAGGCCGCUGCCCCCUCGCUUCCCCAUGGCUUUUCUCGCACCGGCACAUGUCCGACCCGCUCCGUCAGCUGCCGGCAUUUUUCCACUCGCACCUGCUGGUAUGUAAUGGUCGGAGAAAAUUUUUUGUAGGACGCAUUCUAUUGCAGAACAUGCAAUAGAGUGUAUGAGACGCUGGCUGGAUAGCACUUUAGUUUAAUAUUAAUCAAAUUACUCAUACCGCCGGCAUUGCCGCGGGCUGUGUUGAUCGAUUUUGUGUUUCGUUUGAUGUUAUGUCUACGGGGUGGUGAUGCUGUUUUUCAGGCGCGUUGGGCCGACGAUCCCGGGAGAGUGUGGAGGAGUGGAGAGCCCCGCCGCCCGAGCGUGAACCCGAGACCGGUAAGAAUGCGGAGCAACGUACGGGGUAAAAUCUGCUACGGUUUAUUUUUUUUUUUUUCCUUGUUAUCUUCUUAUUUCCUGCUAUGUAUAUGUUUAUUUGCCUUCAUCCUAUCAUUUGCUUUCUCAUUCGCAUGGCCAACUUCGUAGUUGGAUUUGAAGCCGAGCCAAAAUUUUUGGUUCUCUAUCUAAAAAGCACUCAGCGAUUAAAUCAGUUCUAAUUCGGAGGAGAUAAGAUACAAAAGUACAACUCGGAUGUUUUUUCUUUUUUUUUUUUUAAAAAAAAAAUCUUAUAAUACAAUUCGGGCCCUUAACCUUUCCUUUUGUCAUACUAGACUAGAGUUUGAUUGAAUUUUUUAGUCUGACCGGUUUUUAUUGGAUUGGAUUGGACUAUGCAUUAGUCACCCACUCUGAAAAAAAAAGAAAAAGAAAAAAGACGACGUACGGAAGUACUAUGUUCUGUCCAUUACAUAGUAAACGGAUCGGAGCGGAAUAGGAUAAUUAAUAGAGAAGAUCCGCGCCCGAUUACGGCCCGGAAGAUUCGCCACAUCCGUCGGUGGCUCCUUGGGCAGACGACGCGUCGCUGGAGGGGACAGACAGUCCAGCCGCACGGAGAAAAAGGUGCUGGGGAUCGAUUCCGAGUUUUAAUGAGAAGAAGAUGGGAGGAGGGAGAGAGAGGGGGGAGAGGAAUUGCAUCGGUGUAUGGUCUCUGUGGACCCGUGACGCACCGAGCGGGUGGGGUGGAAAAGGGUUGUGACCGGUCUUUGGAGGGGAGAGAUCGUUCGUGAUUCGCGGGCCCACCGCUCCUUCGUCCGUCGCCGGAUGGUCCCCCUUGCUUGCUGUUGUUAGUGGGGACCCAUUUAGUACGACGUCUCGUCACCGGCCUCGUUAAACGCCACAAUAUGGCCCUAAAGAUUUGGAUCCUGCCACCUCCCGCUCCUUCUUGGCCCAUCCCCCCUCCCCCGGUGCCUCUCUCAGUUUGUUCGGAUUCUCGGACAUCUACAUAAUACGUACAUCCCUGCUUAUAAAACCACAUAAAUAAUUGAUAUUUUUUUAAAAAAAAAUUUUAAAAUUAUCUAUUUUUUUUUUUUUUUUUUUUUUUUUUGUCCUUUCGUUUGCCUUUUAUAUCACACAUCUAUCGUAACCCUAAUCUUCAAUCAUAGUCACGUCCUAGGAUGUUGACGAUUUACUCUUUCCUUGUGAUUUUUAGUAAAUAAAAAAUAGUUAAUAAGACAGGCUAAAAUAAGAUAGCCACUGGAUUGGGUUAUUAUCGAUUACAACUGAAAGUGGGUUGUAGUCUUGUAGAUCUAGCAUUUUUUUUUUUUUUUAUGGUGUCCUUAUUCCUAGUGAGCGGGAAAAAUUGUUUUAACGAAUGAGUGAUGAAAACUUAAUGGAGUAUUAUUGUUAGGUACGUACUGAAAAUUUAGAAACCAAUCAUCCCUAGAGCAAGCGGCAAAGGGCUAAAAUUUAGAAACCGAUCAUUUCUAGAGCAAGCGGCAAAGGGCUUGGUGGUUGGUAUCCGAGACCCAAGUUCGAAUCCUUGUUGAUUCACAUUUCUAUCUAAGUUUAUUUUUAAAUGAAAUAAACAAAGCGGGUAGCGUGCUGUCUAUCUCUCUCUCUCAAAAAAAAAAAAGAAGGAUAUUUGGAUUAUAACUUUCUAAGGGAUACGCUAGUAUUUAUCUUUUUUAAUUUUUCUUAGGCUAAAUUGCACUUUUGGUCUCGAACUACAAGGCAUGCGACACCACCAUCCUCCAACUUUUACUUAGUGUAAGUUUUAGCUCAAUCUUUCUAUAUUAUUGAAGUUCUACAGAAUAAUUGUUGACGUCGCAAUGAUAUGCCGCAGCUAUUACUAGAUUACUGUCGCAGCAAUAGCACAUCACCGGUUAGUUAAUUAAAUUGCACCGUGUUAUUUGAUUGCAACGAUCUAGAAAGUUUAAGUCAAAGACGGUAACAAAUUAAAGUUUGAGAAUCAAAGUGUCACUUGUGUAAUAGUUUGAGGACCAAAAGCACAAUUUAGCAUUUUUCCUUUUAUUAAUUGCUUAAUUCAUAGCCCCCAUUUGGUUUCCUGUAGGUGGCGGGGACGCGUAUUAAUUAGAAAAAAUAACUUGAGGUUUCUCUCCUUGCUGUAAUUAAUGCAGUUAUGUUUGUUCGGAUAGACCCUUUAGUUGUCCUGACUCAAUCUUGCUAACCUAUAUAUGGUUACUAAUAUUUUCUUUGCAAAUUUCGGGAAAUAUAAAGUUAAGAAACAUUUCCUUGAAAAACUCGUUUACCAAUUUUCUAGCUGAUUUAGGGUCUAUUUUGUUCCACGUAAGACUUAAAAAAAAAUAAUCUUUUGUGCAAUAGAAUUUUUGGUGAAAAAUAAAUUUUACAGUUCUUGCCGUAUGGUUUGUUGGAAAAUGAAAACAGUUUUCAUACUAUGCUUGUUUGGUUGGAGUUGAAAGGAAAAGAAUUAUUUUAUAUUUAUGUUCUAUUAUUUGGCUAAAACAAAAAUACGCUUUUUUUUUUUUUGUAUAUUUUGUAAAUAAAUUUUAUAAAUAAUAAUUAGAAUUAUAUAUUUAAUGUAAAAACAUUGAACAUAUAUCUAAUCUAGUAUGAUAANGGCCGAUUGAGGUGGAAAUAGCGGCGGAUCGAAGGGGCGGCUGAGGAAGCUCAGGAAGAAGACAACAAUGGCGAGGGGCAAAAUGGUCAUUUUACACACCGUGACAUCCCUGUGAAUAUUUUUCAUUUUACAAGGGGGCAAAGUGUAGGUUUUUAAAUGUCAGGAGGGAAAAGUGAAAAAGCGGGUUAUUACAGGGGGAUUUUCUGUAAUUUAGCCUAUAUAUAUAUAUAUAGUUGAGCUCGAAUGCUAUCGGUAGCAAACGAGCUCCGUUGUCACCCAUUUGUUUUCGAUGAUGGAGCCUUCAAAUCGACGAUCGGCACCGUUAAACAUGAUCUAUAUCACAUGAAGUAUCUAGAAAUUAAAUUUCAAAUCUUUUUGACCUAACGAUCAAAGAGUUUCAAAAUUUGUAAUUUUAAUAGUCGAUAUGAGGCUCUUUCUUGUUUAACGGUGUAAAACUAUUCUAAUUAAUUGAUUUUUUGUUAGAAAAUUCUUUAAACUAUUUAGAACAAGAUCUAUACUCUCGAUCUUGAUUACAAAAUUCCUGUCAUCACCUUUUAGAGGAUAUUCAUUUUUAGCCGUUUAUUUUUACGCCUACUUGAUGAACAAGGGAACAAUAUCGAAAAAGUAUGAAAUUUGAUUUCUAGAUACUUCAAGUGGUAUAAAUCAUUUUCAACUGUACUGAUUAUCGAUUUGGAGGCUCCAUCAUCGAAAAUAAAUGGGUGGCAACGGAACCCGUUUGCUGCCGAUAAUAUUCCAGCUCAACUCUAUAUAUAUAUAUAUAUAUAUAUAUAUAUAUAUAUAGAGAGAGAGAGAGAGAGAGAGAGAGAGAGAGAGAGAGAGAGAGAGGGAGAGAGAUUCCGGCUGGGAUACUAUCGAUAUCACCAAGGGCUUGGUGCUAUCAAGGUUUUCACCGUUAGAUUCAACCCUUUGAUUAUUUUUACCCGUUAGAUCAUACUAUUCAACCAAUCAUCCACUCAACUCAAAGGGGCCCACAUCAUUCUAAUCGUACAAUUUCCAAUCCAAUGGCUAAAAAACUAAUAGCACCAAUAGCUUGGUGCUAUUGAUAGUAUUCCAGUCUAGUUCUAUAUAUAUAUAGAGAGAGAGAGAGAGAGUUAAGUUUCUUUACUUUCAAAAGUAUGGAGACCUCUGUAUUUGUAAGUUAUAUGUCUGAUUUGAUGAUCAAUUCCAUUAGACAUGAUUUAUGUUAUUAGAACUAGACUGGAAUACUAUUAAUAGCAUCAAGCUAUUGGUGCUAUUAGAUUCUUAGUCCUUGGAUUGAGAAAUGUGCGGUUAGGAUGAUGUGGAUCCCUGGGUUGAGCGGGUAGUUGGUUGAAUAGUAUAAUCUAACGGGUAAAAAAAAUCAAAGAGUUAAAUCUAUCAGUGGAAAACUCGAUAGCACCAAGCCCAUGGUGCUAUCGAUAGUAUUCCAGCCGGACACUAUAUAUAUAUAUAUAUAUAUAUAUAGCAACAAUCAUGUGGUUGAUGAGGUUUUUUCACUUUGGUGGUGGGACCACAUGAGAACAUCCAUGGUGGAGUCAUGAGCUGCGACUACUGCAGUAUUGGUUUUCUCCUUGAUUUGAGUAGAAACGAGAACUCAACUCUUUUGGAGAAUCCAUAAAAUUACUUUACAGGAAAACUGAUUUUAUCGUAAUCCAAGCUAGUUGGAAACAGUUUUUCACUCCGGAAACAGUUUUGAAGUGACUUUUACAGCAAACCAAACACCUUAGUAAAAAGGAGGAAAAGAAAAAAAAAUUCCUAAUUUUCAAUGAAACGGAUAGAAAGGUUAUUUUCCCUUUUGCUGUUUGGCUGGAAGAUGGUACUAAUUUUUCUUUCGUCCCAAGGGGUGGUUUGGACCCAGCGUGGCCCAGCCCGGUCCGAUCUUGGAAAGGUUCAUUCCACCCUAGGCCUGCUAAUGACCCUACUUGUCCAGAAUCCUUAGCCUGCAUGUUCAAAUGCAAUUUUCAUGUACUUUUACUCAGCUAUUGUAGGCAUUGUUGUAAUACGAACCCAACAAACGAAGUUUAAUAACAAAGAAAAAAAAAAUUACACUUAACAAAGUUAGCUUGCUUAGUAAACUUAGCUAAAAGAUUUGCUUCUUAUCAAAAGAAUCUGUUUUUUAAAAAAAUUGCUGGCUAACUAGAUCGUCCUCUUUAUAUAAAUGCGAAAACUUUGUUUCGGUGCUAACAGCCACCGUGAAAAACCUUCUGUUAAGUUUAACCUUUACAAAAGUAUAAGCUUUUUGUUUUACAAAACAUGCAUUUCGUAAGGUACUUUUUUAGCCUAAUGGUAAACUAGUUGAUGUUGUUUUCAUUUCACAACAGAAGGUCCGACGAGCAGAAAAGCAUCUUUGCAGCGGUAUCUGGAGAAAAGGAAAGACAGGUAUUGAGGGGUUUUUUUGUCCCCAUAGGAACUAACUUUCUUAGUCAGAAUAUCAUCUUUGCAAUUACUAAGCCUCAAUAAAUUCCACGAAAUAUGAAGGUUUAAGGGCAAAAGAAUUGUUGGGGGUUCAUCUUCUUCUGCCAUGGAGAUGAUUUACUUGGGCCAGAAGAUUCAGGAUCAGGCAUCAAAUGAGCAAUUGGUUAGGAGCGACACGAGCUCCCCUAACCACCCGAGACCACCAUCAACACCCACUAGGAGCAGCUCGAUGGAAAACCAGGCAGGAAAGUUACGCUUCUCGGUUGACCUUAACGAUGAUUGUAAGUAAAUAUGAUCUUUACUGAAUUGACUAUGUCGAUGAGCACAUUAUGUUCAGAUGUUUUCAACCAAAUAUGUUCAUUGCAUGCAAACAUAAGGAGAAGUAUUCAAUUAGCCAAAAUAACUCAGCAAUCUCCUGAUUACACUCGUGUUCUUAAUUUCUAAUAAAUAAAUUAAACUCAUCUUCCGAAAAAUGUUUUGUGGAGUGUGCUUUAUACUAAGUAAUUAGUACCUGCCGUGUUAAAUGCUUUAGCCAUUUCUAUCCUUCUCUAUCUUUAUCCAAGUAGUUCUCCACUGCUAUAAAUCUCAAGCUAGAUAAAUAUUGUAACACAAUCCUCUUUUGAUUGUUGAGAUUUCUUUCUCAGGUACUAAACUCCAAAGUCUUGAUUGCAUCUCAUUUUUAAACAGGUGGUGGCAAUUGAGAACCUAGUUUCCUUUGCUCAAAGAGUUGCUAAUCCAAAUGUUUCGAUGCAAGGAUCGAACCUAAUCUUUGGAACGGUCACUUUCUUUUGAGAAUUAAGCAGAUGCCCUGUAGUCUGUUAUCACGACUGUCGUUCCCUUGGACUACAAGAGGAAGGCUAUUUUGCAUCUGGUCUAAUGCGGGCGUGUAUACCAGGUAAAUAAGAUUUUAAGAAGAACAUCAUCAGGCUGAGAAUUAUGGUAUAAGAUGGUAAGGCGCGUCUUUAGUCUCUCGAGACAAUCAAUUAGCCAAGAGUUUUAGGUAUUCCGUUUUGGGGUCAGAUGAACUCUUACGCGGGAAUCUGUUGUUGUACAAGGCUCAGGCCUAUUUUGCACUUAUAUGUGUAUCAGUAAUCUUGAUGGUGAUGAGGUGAAUGUAAUUUGAGAUUUUUAUCUUAUUAUUCUGAAAUUAAAUUUGUGCAGCUUUGGACGUAUGCUGCAGAUCUUCUCCUUUCAAGUCUAUACUGUCUCCAAUUGUGAAGUUGAUCUUUUCUGCUGCUGAUGCAAAAAUGCUAUUAAUUGUGACUUGUGAGCGCAUUAUCAUUUUCCUUUUGACAAUGCAAACAUGCUGAUGUGUUCUUAAAUGACUCAGAGUGGAUUAAUGACUUGCUUCAAUUAUUCAACCUUAGGCAAAAAAAAAAAAAAUAGUUCCUUUGUAUUUUCCACUCGCUUCAACAAACUUAAUUAAUCAUGAAUUGAAUGGGUCCUAGGGGAGAGAGACUGUGUGAGGACGAAGAAUACAAAAUCUAUCUAUUCCACUCUAUACUUAUUUAUUUAUUUAUUUAUUUAUUUUUUAUUUAUUUUAUUUUUUUAUAGCAUUAAAGGAUAGUUAGGAGAUCGCAAGGUGACACGUCUCCUACCAACACUCUCUUCUUCGUAAUGAGAAAUUAUUGCCAACACUAGGUCUAUUAGUUUGUCUUAUACAGAGAACUUUUUUUUUUUUUAUUUUGAAAGAAAGGUAGCAAUAAACUUAGUUGGAAAUGUGAAUCAAUUAGGAUUCGAAUUUGGAUCUCGAAUACCAACCAUCAAAUUCUUUUGCCACUUGCAAUAGGGAUGGUAGGCAGAAAACUCAUUUUUUAAUAGAUAUAAUUUAGAUCAUUUACAAGGCCUGUGAAUAGAAUGUUACAAAGCCUAUGAAUAGAAUGUUACAAGGUAGCAAAUAGUCUUAAAAAUUAAUAAUAAAGGAUGAGUUAUUGUUCCAUUUUUGAGAAAUAGGAUUUAAAACUAAUUUUAAUUUGAUAGCCAGGCCUUUUAAAUGUCAUAAAAUACGUCCAACGAAUUAGAUUUUGGCAUUAAAUUUUUAUCUUCUAGUUUUAGAGAUGCCGUGUACAAAAUAUAUUUAUGCAUUUGUGUGCAAAACAAUUUCUCCACCACUAUCCCAUCCUUCCAUUAAUUACUUUUAUUAAUUUAUUUGAAUUAUUUCAAUACGUUUUUUUUCUAGUUUUUCACAUAUAUUUUUAUAAAAUAAUCUAAUUACUAAUAGCUCUUUAUAUUUUUUUCUCUUAUACUCGUGAUUUUCUUCUAUUUUUGUAGCCAUGUUUAUUUAAUUAUUUUAAUUACAUUAUUUCUUAUUUUAAUAUCUAUAGUCUUGUAAUAUAAUCUAACUAUUAUUAAUGAGUUCCUACAAUAUUUUCAAAUAUAUAUGGUCAAAAAAUGUACUUAAUUAAAUAUCCUUAAAAAAGUUAUUUUUAUACAUAUAAUUGUUGAAUUAUGUUCUGAUUAUUUUAAUCAUUUAAUAUCCAUAUUAUUAGCCAUUUGCUUACGCAUAUAUUCAUUAUUAAUUACUUAACCACCGUGAUCUCUUAUAAAAAUCAUAAUAUGCUGCAUAUAUACUCAUUUAAAUUAUUUUUAUUCAAAUUAAUUAUAUUAAUAACUAAGCUGAUAAAGUUUUUAAACCAUACAAAAAAAAAUCAACUGAAUUUUGUUGCUAAAAGAUUUUAUAUAUAUUCUUCGUAUCACGCGGGCCCUUCACUGGUUUUGAAUUAAUUCCAGGGUCCCCAGCUCUUUAAUUUCAUGAUAGACAUAUCUUAUCUCCGUAAAUUGCAUCUGCUGUUCAACAUUUAUUAUUUCUAUUCUCUCUCUCAAAAAAAAAAAAAAAAAACAUUUAUUAUUAUUUAUAUGAAGAAGGAUAGAUAGCUAGAAUGAAUAUACUCAGCAAAUGUUCACCUAUGAAAAUUAGCCCCAUGUUGGACUUGAAUUUUAAGGGAUCUAAGCUUUGAAUGGGUUGUUACGUGGGGUAAUUAAAUUGCACCAUCUUAACCUUUUACGAAAGUACUUAAGUAACCUAGUUAAUUUCAUGGAACCUGGGAUUCUUUUGUAUCUUCAUAAUAAAGUUGCAGUGACAAAAAAAAACAAAAAAACCAUUAUUUUUAUUUUUAUUUUUUAGAGAUAAGUAGCAUGCUACACGUUUCAUUUAUUUCUUGCUUAUUUAAUUUACAAAUAAACUUGGCUACAAAUGCGAAUCAAUUAGGAUUCGAACUUGGGAUCUCGAAUACCAACCGUCAAGUCCUUUGCCACUUGCGCUUCGGACGGUCGAUAAAACCAUUAUUUGUAUUGGUAGAUUGGAACCACUCACCUAUAUAUCAUUGUGACUGGUUCAACUUUUCCUUUUGUGCAAUUCUAUCAGUGACAUCAUGCACCUAAUUAAAGAAAACCAUUCCAAUUGUUGGGAUCAUGGUUUGAGUUGAUACCUCAACUAAUAAUAAAGGACCAGUACCCCUUUUUGUUGAAACUUGAAAUCAAACUCUGGAGCAUUCCAAUAACCACUAGUGCAUGUAUUUAACAUAACUCAUUUUGUUGCACCUAACCUAUAUUUGUUAGAGGACACUUUUUAACUAAAAUGAUAUCCACUCCUUUGUAAUUGCUACUAACUACUUACCAACUCUCCUAUUUUAUCCAUAGGCAAGAGACAAAGCAUUGCAUGAACUAAGGCACUUGUCUGAACCUGAUGCUCACCUCUCAACCACUGCAAGUCAAAACAACUACAUUAAUUUGGUGUAAGAAAUUAUUAGAAAAAUGUUAGCUACUUGUACACUCUGUAUAUAAAUAUAUAUAUGUGUAAAGUUUUUAUUAUUUCCAUCGAAGAGUUCAUGCAUUAAUUAAUCUUUUUGGAUUUUUGGAAUUUUUAACAAAGGUUAAUAAUACUAAUAAAAAAAAUAAUAGCUCUUGCAUGAGUGCGGUGUAAAUUAAUCUCACUUCUAAUUUUAGGGUGUACAUAUAGAAUUGCUCUAAUUAGUAUUGAAAAGGAUCUAUUUUGAAGUGAGUGGUUUUUUCUCUUUUGUCUUUGUUUUGUAACAUAUUUCUCUAUUCUUUUUUGAAGUCAAUCGAGACUAGGUACGAAGCCGGUGAGCCCCAUGCGUGCUCUGAUCGAAUGAAUACUUGAAAUAAGAUGCAUCACAAAUUAAUCAAAACUUGUCAUGUCAUAUGUAUAUUAGGAUAAUCCUGCAUGUUUCUAUCUUUUCAACAUAUAAUAACUAAUGCGUCCUGGAUUGACAUUUGGGAAUCUACAUCAUUCGACUGAUUAUUCGCGUGCAUCGCAUGCAACUGUUAUAUAUGCAAGCUUGUAGCAAGCAUCACACUAAUUAAUUAAAGAGUUAGGACCUGCACAUAUGGCCCAUCUCAUGCAUGUAGAGCCCCUGCAAAAGCAUUGUUUAGGUAUAGGUACGUAGUUGAAGACGCUAUAUAUAGUGUUUUGACUCGACAGUAUCAAUAUAGAACUCUUUCCAUAUAUAACAACAACAAUAUAUAGAGUAAAGAUGGAGCAUUUCAUUGCUGCUUCUCGUAGCAUAACUAUUCUAAAAGACGUACUGCAUGUACAAACAACCAUUUACACAUUAUUUAGAAGCAACACAUGUGGAACCUAAAUACAAGUCUUUUAUGCGAACAUUAAUGUCUCUAUCAACUAUGUUAUGCAUGUCUUUUAUAUAUAUAUAUAUAUAUAUAUAUAUUGAGAUAGAAGUAAAUUAACUGGAACAAGUUUCUUUUACAUGGUCGGUCAUUCCCCAAGUGGCAUUAGGUUGGCUUUGGUGAUCUAAUGCCACAACUGAGGGGAAGGGAAGGUGAAGGGAGGGAUUAUUUUGAGGGGCUCCAACUCCAAAAGAACAGUUGAGUUCGAGUUGGCCAAAUCCCCACCUAUAACACACACACACUCUCUCUCUCUCUCUCUCUCUCUCUCUCUCUCUCAAAUAUUUGCCCUAUUCCCCCACAUGGCAAUGUUGGAUGAUCCACUGUUUGUAGCCGUUAUCUAAAUUUUGUCUCCACUCUCCCUCAAAAUCAAACAGCAACUUGAACAUGUGGGGGAGGGCCCAACUACUGAACUUGUCAAACCCCCCCCUUACUGAUAAUUAAUCAUGUUCCCACUCAGUGCCAACGAAAGGUUGUCUCGUACCAUUUCUUUAUAUAUAUAUAUAUAUAUAGAUAUAUAUAUAUAUAUAUAUUAUAUAUAUAUAUAUAUAUAUAUAUAUAAUAAUAGAUAGACAUUUAAUCUAAGGAAAAACGAAAAGAAGAAAAUUAAGAUAAAAAACCUAUUUUAUGCUUCUGUGAAAAUUAUGUCUAGGGAGAGCUUUAGUAGAAUUUGUUUUGACCUGCUGCUUGAAGUAAAAGUUUUGAGGGAAGAACUAAUAAUACCUUUAUCCAUCAAUUUGUUUUAAAGUAAUUUUUUAUUAUCGUAUAAAUAUAGUUGUAAUUAACUUGGAUUUUUUUUUCUUUUGUUUUAAAACUUAUUCCAAUUCCUCUAUUCACAAAAAUUAGGUUCCAACAGACCGUCCCUUGCAUAGUUGAUGGGCAGCUUAACAAUUUGUAUUUGAGAUUCGAAAUUUAAAAUCUAAUUAAUUUAUAUUUUUAGUUGAGUUUAAUUUUUAAAAAUGUAAUAAAAUAUACAGCAUGCUGUUUUUUUAUUAAAGAGAAAAAUAUAAAUCGGUGGGUUGUUUGGACGGAGCGCAAUAAGAUUGUCUUCAGCGUGGAGACCCCGGAUGCUACCCGAGCAAUUGGAAGGGUCGUUGCGUUAUUGAAGGCAUGGACCGAGGCACUAGACCCGUGAUCGCUCUUUAAUCUCUCGAGUCGGUGCUCUUGUCUACUUAUCUGUACUGGUCUCUUACUGUUUUCUUUUCGCUUUGCCGGUUCCGCUAGGAGGCCUUAGCUGUCUCCAUCAUGUACGCUAAAUUCAUUUUGCUUAAUGAAUGAAGCAGGUAGCUUGCUACCUCUUUCUCAAAAAAAAAAAAGAGAAAAAUAUAAAUCUUUGGUUACAUAAAAAAAUAUUUUUUCAUACCAAACUCGCAAUAACGGUAUUUAAAGAUAGUACAUUUUUUUGUAACCAUAUAUAGACGUCAAAAAUUUUUACACUGGGAGUUGCACAAAAAUUUGUACUCUCACGCCAAAUGGUACAUUUUAUUAAAAAUUGGGAGACUAUAUAUAAAGAGAGAACUAGAUUACUAUAAUAUUAAUAGCACAAGUCAUUUGUGCCGAUAGGUUUUCUAUUUUUAUAUGAAAAGAUGUGUAGUUAGGAUAAUGAUGGUCAAAAAAAUAAAUUUAACGAAGAAAAAAUUAAUAACACUAAAUAGUUGAUGCUAUCGAUAGUAUAAUAGCCGGACUCUUUAUAACACUAAAUAGAACUUCCGAAUCGACGAUCCAUAUCGUUAAACAUUAUCUAGAGCAUUUAAAACUUCUAGAAAUCAAAUUUCAUAAUUUUUCGACACUAUUUACCUAACGAUCAAAAGCUCACAAAAUUGACAACUUUUAACGGCCGGUAUGAGAUACUUGCUAGUUUAACGGUCUAAAAGAAUCGGAAUAGGUUGAAUUUUUGAUAGAAAAUUCUAUUCACUAUUUAGAUAAAAAUCAAUAAUUUCGAUCUUAAAUUAAAAGAUCCGAUCAUCCAUUUUUAGGACGUCGUUCGAUUUUGAUCAUUCAUUUUAUACCCGCUUGAUGAACUUUAUUAAAUUCAUUUUCUGAAAUUUUUAAAUACUUUAGAUUACAUUUAAUGGAGUGGAUCGUCGAUUCAGAAAUCCCAUCAUAAAAAAUAACUUAUGGAUACGAAAGGCCCAAUACUCAUAAGAGUAUAGUAACCCUACUCUCUCUCUCUCUCUCUCUCUCUCUCUCUCUCUUCUAUAUUAUAUAUAAUUAUAUUAUUAUAUAUAUCCGACUUGGAAUAACUAUUACAUAGGCAUAAAGCAUUUGGUGCUAUUAAGUUUUCGGUACUUGGAUUAAAAAAUAUAGGGUUAGAAUGAUGUGGGUCCCUAGGGUUGAGUAAGUUGUUAGUUUAAUAGUAUAAUCUAAUAGAUGAAAAUAGUUAAAAAGUUAAAUCUAAUUGCGAAAAAUUUGAUAGCACCGUACGGAUGGUGUUAUCAAUAGUAUUCCAGUCGGACUAUAUAUAUAUAUAUAUAUAUAU
Molecule: long non-coding RNA, 43366 nt
Filed under: Ananas comosus (pineapple)
Lineage: Eukaryota; Viridiplantae; Streptophyta; Magnoliopsida; Poales; Bromeliaceae
Description: long non-coding RNA (ACOM_LNC000022)
Source: RNAcentral